GACGAACGCUGGCGGCGUGCUUAACACAUGCAAGUCGAACGAAGAGCGAUGGAAGCUUGCUUCUAUCAAUCUUAGUGGCGAACGGGUGAGUAACGCGUAAUCAACCUGCCCUUCAGAGGGGGACAACAGUUGGAAACGACUGCUAAUACCGCAUACGAUCUAACCUCGGCAUCGAGGAUAGAUGAAAGGUGGCCUCUACAUGUAAGCUAUCACUGAAGGAGGGGAUUGCGUCUGAUUAGCUAGGUGGAGGGGUAACGGCCCACCAAGGCGAUGAUCAGUAGCCGGUCUGAGAGGAUGAGCGGCCACAUUGGGACUGGGACACGGCCCAGACUCCUACGGGAGGCAGCAGUGGGGAAUCUUCCGAAAUGGACGAAAGUCUGACGGAGCAACGCCGCGUGAGUGAUGACGGCCUUCGGGUUGUAAAGCUCUGUUAAUCGGGACGAAAGGCCUUCUUGCGAAUAGUUAGAAGGAUUGACGGUACCGGAAUAGAAAGCCACGGCUAACUACGUG
Molecule: ribosomal RNA, 510 nt
Filed under: uncultured bacterium
Lineage: Bacteria
Description: partial 16S ribosomal RNA
Rfam family: Bacterial small subunit ribosomal RNA
Source: RNAcentral